RNAcentral lists this transfer RNA (66 nucleotides) under Palaeoagraecia brunnea. RNAcentral's name for it is "tRNA-Pro". The record is from RNAcentral. Lineage: Eukaryota; Metazoa; Arthropoda; Insecta; Orthoptera; Tettigoniidae.
CAGAGGGUAGUUUAGAUUAAAAUUUUAAUUUUGGAGAUUAAUGAUAAGAUAUAUUCUUUCCUCUGA